AAAUCCCAGUAAUGAGAUUUGAGACCCUAAAUAAAUUUAAUUGUUUAUCUUGUUCAUCCAAUGUGAAAAUAAUGUCACCCCCAGCAUCAACCAGGAGAAAGAUUAUAGGGCUAUUUAGUGGAAAAACUCGGGGUUCUGACUCCAACGAGAACCAAGAAUAGACGAUGGGUGAUUGAGAGCGAGUGUUGUAUUCUUUGUCGUUUCUUAUUUUCCAAUUAGUUUGAAAAAAAUAAGCACGAAACUUCAAUUGAAUUCAUGUACUUCUUGUCAAGUGCCAACUCGCAUGGAUCCGAGAUUACAAUUUUCCAUACACCCUCAAGCUCACUAUCGAGCAGAUGAAAUUUGAAGUCAUAGAGCAAAAGCAUGUAAGGUGCAGUCUUUAUUCCUUUGGUAGUAUGAUAAUUCGAUGCAGCAGAGAGAGCCAGGUAAAGGAUACGGAAGUGUUGAUACCAUAAGGAGACUGGUUCAACAAUCCACAGAAUGGCCUUACAAUAAGUAUUAAGGGAGGCUUACCAACUAUUCUUCUACAAAGUACAGCAAACAGAAGAUUUACACAUGAAACUGCACAUCAUUGUCUACAUCACUGUCAAUGUUGCGGUAGAGUCGGUCUCUUCUCCAACAUUUCAUAGUGGAGUACAAAAUUAUCCUGCAUUCAAUAGUGUGUGUCAGUUUGAUACUACAUUUGAUGUGAAACUAUGGUCAAACAUGGCAAAUAAAUUAGAACGAUAUUCAUGGUAUCA
Molecule: long non-coding RNA, 740 nt
Organism: Coffea arabica (coffee)
Lineage: Eukaryota; Viridiplantae; Streptophyta; Magnoliopsida; Gentianales; Rubiaceae
Source: RefSeq, a predicted model, not a curated record